CGGUAUUAUGCCCGUGCGAAGGUAGCAUAAUCAUUAGUCUUUUAAUUGAAGGCUGGAAUGAAGGGUUGGACGAGAAAUAAGCUGUCUUUAUCUUAAAAAUUGAAUUUAACUUUUAAGUGAGAGGGCUUAAAUGGAUUAAAGGGACGAUAAGACCCUAUAAAGUUUAUAUGUUGAACUAAUUAAAGAUAAUUAGGAAGAGUAAAGUUUAUUAUUGGUUAGGCAUUUAGUUGGGGCGACUGAAAUAUAAGUUAAUUUAACUGUUUUAAAUUAAGGUCAAAGAUGUUUGAGUUUGUGAUCCCUUUUUAGGAUGAUAGAAUAAGUUACUUUAGGGAUAACAGCGUAAUUUUUUUUGAGAGUUCUUAUCGACAAAAAAGUUUGCGACCUCGAUGUUGAAUUAAAAGUUUCUUUGUAGUGCAGCAAUUACAAUAGAAGG
RNAcentral lists this ribosomal RNA (433 nucleotides) under Cherax preissii. Its description in RNAcentral is "partial 16S ribosomal RNA". It matches the Rfam family "Archaeal large subunit ribosomal RNA", at positions 2011 to 2644 of the family's 2987-position model. Lineage: Eukaryota; Metazoa; Arthropoda; Malacostraca; Decapoda; Parastacidae. The record is from RNAcentral.